RNAcentral lists this ribosomal RNA (839 nucleotides) under marine metagenome. Its description in RNAcentral is "bacterial SSU rRNA". It matches the Rfam family "Bacterial small subunit ribosomal RNA", at positions 8 to 862 of the family's 1533-position model. The record is from RNAcentral.
AGAGUUUGAUCCUGGCUCAGGACGAACGCUGGCGGCGCGCUUAAUGCAUGCAAGUCGAACGGUGAACCCGACUUCGGUCGGUGGAUCAGUGGCAGACGGCUGAGUAACACGUAAGUAACCAACCCUUGGGUGGGGAAUAACAUUGGGAAACCAAUGCUAAUACCGCAUAGUCUUUGAAAUCAAAUGGUUUCAAUGUAAAGGCUUCGGUCGCCCGAGGACGGGCUUGCGGCUUAUCAGGUUGUUGGUGGGGUAAUGGCCUACCAAGCCUACGACGGGUAACUGGUCUGAGAGGACGAUCAGUCAGAGGGGGACUGCGACACGGCCCCCACUCCUACGGGAGGCAGCAGCAGGGAAUCUUGCGCAAUGGACGAAAGUCUGACGCAGCGACGCCGCGUGAAGGAAGAAGGCUCUAGGGUUGUAAACUUCUUUUCUGAGGGAAGAGUAAGGACGGUACCUCAGGAAUAAGCCUCGGCUAACUACGUGCCAGCAGCCGCGGUAAUACGUAGGAGGCAAGCGUUGUCCGGAUUUAUUGGGCGUAAAGGGCGUGCAGGUGGCAUAGAAAGUUUUUGUUGAAAUCUCCCGGCUUAACUGGGAGGGGUGCAAGAAUACUUCUAAGCUAGAGGGCAGUAGAGGAAAGUGGAAUUCAUGGUGUAGUGGUGAAAUGCGUAGAUAUCAUGAGGAACACCAGUGGCGAAAGCGGCUUUCUGGGCUGCACCUGACACUGAGGCGCGAAAGCAUGGGUAGCAAACCGGAUUAGAUACCCGGGUAGUCCAUGCCAUAAACGAUGGAUACUGAGUAUGGGGGGUAUCGACCCCUUCUGUGCUGAAGCUAACGCGUUA